CAUUGUGUCGUGACGGAGACGCCGCCGGUCGUGGUUUCCGCGGCAGCGGGUGCGGCUGCUUUAGCCUGGCCUGGGCUCCACGGCUGCCUGGAGGGUCUCUGCAGCGCCCAUCCCUUCUCCUCCGGGACCCCACGCCAGCAGCGACCCUGAGCCGGCAGCCGGAGCAACCGGCCAUGGCAGCCUCGCACCGGCCCAUCAAGGGAAUCCUGAAGAACAAGACCUCUGCGGCUUCCCCUCCGGUGGUGCCCUCGGCCGAACAGCCCCGCCCGAUCGUGGAAGAGGAACUGAGUAAGAAGUCUCAGAAGUGGGAUGAAAUGAACAUCCUGGGAACAUAUCAUCCCGCUGACAAAGACUAUGGCUUGAUGAAAAUAGACGAGCCAAACACCCCAUAUCACAAUAUGAUAGGUGACGAUGAAGACGCCUAUAGUGAUUCUGAAGGCAAUGAAGUCAUGACUCCAGAUAUCUUAGCUAAGAAAUUAGCUGCUGCUGAAGGCUCAGAGCCAAAGUAUCGGACUCGGACUCGGGAGCAAGAAAGUAGUGGAGAGGAAGAUAAUGACCUCUCCCCUGAGGAGCGAGAAAAGAAGCGGCAGUUUGAAAUGAAAAGGAAGCUUCAUUACAAUGAAGGACUCAAUAUUAAGUUAGCCAGACAGUUAAUUUCAAAAGACCUACACGAUGAUGAAGAAGAUGAAGAAAUGGCAGAGACUGCAGAUGGAGACAGCAUGAUUGUUGAAGAGUCAAGUCAAGGAUCUACUACAAGUGACCAUCUGCAACACAAAUCACAAAGUUCAUAAAAGAAACAUGUUCAGCAAUGCGGUCGUUGUCAAAUACAAACCUUGUUACUAU
Molecule: RNA transcript, 843 nt
Organism: Mus musculus (house mouse)
Lineage: Eukaryota; Metazoa; Chordata; Mammalia; Rodentia; Muridae
Gene: Ppp1r2-ps3
Gene name: protein phosphatase 1, regulatory (inhibitor) subunit 2, pseudogene 3
Exons: 1
Source: RefSeq, marked validated